CAGGCCGCCCUGAGCUUGACCUUUGGCUUCACCUCAAGUAUUUCAAGGUCCUUUGUUUCCUUUGGACGCGCGCCGGUGACCUUUCACACUGUGUGAAAACGAACGGACCAGGGAAAGGAGACAGAGACGCGGUUCUGGACAGAGAGGUUGUUCUGACCAAAAUGAAGCUCUUCAGCAACAUCCACAAGAUGCUUCCGACGGCCGACGACUCGGCCUCCACCAUCUCAACUGUGUCCGUUUCGGAGCAGGACGUCUGUGACCCCAGCAAACCCUCUGAAGUACGUUCCCACCGCGUUGACGAGCCGGGCCGGCUUCAGACGGAGUCCGUCUCACGGCACCCGGCCUCGGACUCUCGGCUGACGAGGUCGUACAAGUUUGAGUCGGAGGACUCUGGAGUGGAGCUGCCCAGCGGCGCGGACUCUCCGUCCACCCCGACGAGCUCUGAGCAGAGCUUCACUGUCCACAGCCGAGAGUCCUCCUGCAACCGGAACUCCGACGCCGGCGCCGCCCCCGAUGACCUGGUGCCACUCACGCAGCUCCCGGAGAGCAAACAGGCGCCGGGCUCAGCGGACGAUGGUGCGAGUGCAGCAGCGGGGGCUCUGAAUGACGGUUUCAUACACUCAGAGGAGCUCAGUUCAGCCGUGGGUGCAGAGCGGCGCGCAGGUGAGGAGGUGGACGGGGACCAGAGCGGGGGGUCGGGAGCCAGCCCUGAGAGAGACGAGGACAUGCCGGGACAGCUUGAGGAAACCUGCGCCGAAACCGAGAGGACCUGCUUCCGAGGAGACGGCAGCCACUUCGAGCCGGCGCCUCGGCGGAGCCGUGAGACCAGAGACAGCCUGGAGGACUACAUGGACCAAUGCUGCAGACUGAGUGAGGCACAGCAAGCGAGUUCCAACCCUCCGGGCUCGGGCCUGGAUUACCUGGAUCACAUCUGCCAACUCAUCGCCAGGAUCGGCCACCUGCAGGAGAACAACCUCCAGCUGCAGCGGCAGAUCUACAGCCUUCAGAAGGACAGCAGGACGGCAAAGACCAAAGAGGACUUUUUCCAGCAUCACUGCAGCUGUGGGGCGGCCUGCUUGUCUUUCCAGGACAUUCAGAAGAGACAGUCCAGAAGUGACUUCUCGUCCCCCAGUGGGACCCUCUCUGACCUGUCCACCAUCCCCGAGGUCACCCGGCCUCCACUCUUACCAGCCCGAGGAGACAUGAGCGGUGCGGGUUUGACACCCGUCCAACUGUGGAGGACGGGCUUGUACCGGAGGAGUUACACCGAGGGGGAAGAGCCCUUCCUCAGCCACAGCACCGAGGCGCUCUCCAUCCCCCAGCGAAGGCUCAGCGAAAACUGCACAUGGGGACGAGUCAAAGACCUGGUGAGGAAGACUAAGGUGAAGAACCAAAGCCGGCUGCGCCUGAAUUCUGCCUCCCUGGAGAGGUCCUGCCCACAGCUCUACAUGCCUGACGUGGAACCAUUAGAACCCGCUUGCAGAGACAGGAGCUCCAUGAUAGCCUUGGGCCACCACAGCAAACUGGACGUCCCUUGGUUACAAUAAACAUGGAGGAGGGACACGCAUCCGUUCUGGGAGAAUAACCACCACGCACCAUCCAGCAAUCCUCAAGCCAUUAUUUUAUUAAAGGCUGUUGAAGUGGUCCGAUAAAGGAUGGGCUCCGGGAGAGAAGGGACACAUUCUGGGGCUUUACAAUCCACUACAUGAUGCGGCUGCUGCAAUGCUGCCAUUUUUGGGCUAAAAAAAUAAAGAAAAAUUGACUUGAUACACAACUAAGAUUACUCGGAAUGUGCCUCAGUCUGAACACACUUUCAGAAGCUUGUAAACGUUAAAGUUGGCUGGACGUUUUCUUUGGAAUGCACAGUGCAAAAUAUACUAAAUCAAUAUUGUAAAGUUGAUAUUCUCGCUAUCAAAAGAACAUUUCUUGAUCGCUAAGUCACACCCUCAUCUUUGCACAAUGGAUGGAGAACAAACGAUAAUAACACAGAUAACAAUUGUCAUUUGUUUAUGUCAGAGUAACAAACAGCUGGUUGGUUGAUUGGGACAUUGUGAUGCAUUUCAUUUCCAACGUCACACUUGUACCAUUAUGUGGUUUGGAUGUCAGGACUCUACUGCAUGCUAUUGUACUCCAAAACGGGAAAACUGUAAGUAAACUAUUGCAUUUAAGUAGAAUUUUGUAAGACAAUAACUUUUUCUAAUAAGUUAUAUCUGAGGUUUAUCUGCAUGGCGUCAGACAACUAUAUAUGUAUUUUAUGUUUCUGUAUGGAUAUUGCAUUCAUAUUCAAAUGUAUUUUUUAAUAAAAAUUCAAUCCAAAGGAAUUGAUGCAGAA
This is a long non-coding RNA of Gasterosteus aculeatus aculeatus (three-spined stickleback), 2332 nucleotides long. The record is from Ensembl. Lineage: Eukaryota; Metazoa; Chordata; Actinopteri; Perciformes; Gasterosteidae.